RNAcentral lists this transfer RNA (74 nucleotides) under Bacillota bacterium. RNAcentral's name for it is "tRNA-Ala". It matches the Rfam family "tRNA". From Rfam's summary of the family: Transfer RNA (tRNA) molecules are approximately 80 nucleotides in length. Their secondary structure includes four short double-helical elements and three loops (D, anti-codon, and T loops). RNAcentral also lists the same sequence under 2 other names. Lineage: Bacteria; Bacillati; Bacillota. The record is from RNAcentral.
GGGCCCGUAGCUCAGUUGGCUAGAGCGCGUGAAUGGCAUUCACGAGGUCAGGGGUUCGACUCCCCUCGGGUCCA